CUGCCAGAAUUCAUAUGCUUGUCCCGAAGAAUUAAGCCAUGCAUGCCCAUGACAAAUCGGUUCUGGGGGGAAUUUCCUGCGGGGAUGGCGAGUUUGGGUUUGACUGUAAGGCCAAAAUACAAUUCCCCCCACAUAGAAACGAGGAAUCAGCGAACGGCUCCGCAUAUCUGUUGUGACCUAUCGUGGUAAGUAAGGCGUGGAUAUAGCACGGAAAAGCUGUGUGUAACACAGUUGAAUGGGGCAACCCCUCGGCCGAGUGUCUCUCGGUCUGUUUGGGCUAACUGGAACUGGCACGCUUUGACCACGUGCUGAUCCGGCCUCGCAAAUCCUCCUAAAGUAUGCCGACAAUUCCGGGGGUGGGCAACAAUCCCGCCUACCGACGGUAAAAAACGGAGGCCUCUUCUUGGGAACUCUCCCGACCGGGUAUCACGCCCUAAGCUGGAUUUGGGCCCGGAUUGCGCAUUCCCCUCAAUAAGAAGAGUCUAACCACGAGCGCACGAUGGGCUUCAGACCUAUCAGCUUGAUGGUAGGGUAUUGGCCUACCAUGGCAAUGACGGGUACAGAGGAUUAGGGUUUGAUCCUGGAGAGGUAGCCUGAGAAAUCGCUCCCACUUCUAAGGAAGGCAGCAGGCGCGUAACGUUCCCAAUGCUCGUGUGAGUGAUGACGUAAUGGAAUAUAACUAUACCUCUUGUGGACAAGUGUGGUUCAUGAGGACAAGUCU
This 721-nucleotide ribosomal RNA is filed under the name Lycogala sp. RNAcentral describes it as "partial small subunit ribosomal RNA". It matches the Rfam family "Eukaryotic small subunit ribosomal RNA", at positions 14 to 521 of the family's 1831-position model. The record is from RNAcentral. Lineage: Eukaryota; Evosea; Eumycetozoa; Liceales; Enteridiidae.